UCAGUUCAUGCUUUCACCGCAUGUGUAGAGUGUGUCGUUAUAGAAAAGGCAAAUACAAAUUUAUUACUUCUUGGCUUUAAGGGAGAAAUGUAAUAAACCCCUUCGUAAAAAGUCAUUGAUUAAACGAAUAAGGACAAUUAUAAGAAAAUGUGUAUAUUGUUCCUCCAUGUAAAUACAAGUCCCGAAUCCAACGAAUACCGAUUAGUUGUGGCUACCAAUAGGGAUGAAUAUUACAAAAGACCUGCCAAAUCAGCAUAUCACUGCCCACAAACUGACGUCAUUAGCGGGCGGGAUAUGGAACCCGGUAGGGAGGGUGGUACCUGGCUAGGUUUCGGUUCCAAACCAGUUCAAGAAAAUGGAAAACCCCCGAAACAUUGUUUUGCUUGUCUGACAAACAUUUCCGGUACAAAAAUUGACCAUGCAAUGGGCAGAGGGGAACUAGUCAUAAACUACUUGGAGUCAGAGCUGGACUUUCCACAAUAUAUUGAGGAUUUAGACAAACAAUCUAAGGUUUUUAAUGGCUACAAUUUGAUCGGAGUUGAAUUGAGCAAAGACGGUUCCGCUAAAACAUUUCACAACAGUAAUUUUCCCAGAAUAGAUUCCGUGUAUACGGGAACUCAUACUUUGGCAUUUGGAAACACUUCAAUUAGUUCGCCUUUGAUUAAGGUUUUGAAAGGCAAAGAUAAAUUCGAGGAUAUCUUGGAUAAAAAGUUAGACCAGUCUACCCUACAAGAAGAACUGCUGCAGUUGCUCAAAGAUGAAACAAAGUACUUCCCCGAUAGGCAGUUAAUAAAACGAGACCCGACCAUCGCUGAACAUCUGUCACAGAUAUAUGUCAAAUUCCCAGAAGCCGGUUAUGGAACGCGAACCCACACGAUUAUUUUAAUCGACAGAGAUUGGAAUUUGGAGUUUCUAGAGCAUACAAUGGAAGAACCGAUCAACGUGGAAAAUCCAAAGUGGAAAGUUACAAGUAUUAAGUCUCGAUUAUAGCGUCAGAAACUAAAGAGGGAGACUUGUCUCGAUAGAGUGAUGUGAUAUUAUUUCAAUUUAUUGAGGUUGAUUAGUGGAAGAUCAGUCAACCUCAUUUCCAUAAACAAAAAGGUUGGAACCAGUCCAAAUUCAUAUUUUAAAAGAGAGGAAAAAUAUAAUUA
Cylas formicarius (sweet potato weevil) is the source of this 1151-nucleotide RNA transcript. It is a transcript of the gene named transport and Golgi organization protein 2 homolog, with no coding region annotated. Lineage: Eukaryota; Metazoa; Arthropoda; Insecta; Coleoptera; Brentidae. The transcript is spliced from 5 exons. The record is from RefSeq and is a predicted model, not a curated record.